AUACUUACCUGGCAGGUGAGAUAUCGUGAUCACAGAGGUAGUUUUCCCAGGGCGAGACUCAUCCAUUGCACUCCAGAUGUGCUGACCCCUGUGAUUUCCCCAAGUUUGGGAAAAUCAACUGCACAAUUUGUGGUAGUGGAGGACUGUGUUUGUGCUUUCCCCUG
Small nuclear RNA from Echinops telfairi (small Madagascar hedgehog), 164 nucleotides. RefSeq annotates it as U1 spliceosomal RNA. The transcript has a single exon. Lineage: Eukaryota; Metazoa; Chordata; Mammalia; Afrosoricida; Tenrecidae. The record is from RefSeq and is a predicted model, not a curated record.